UGUAAAAAAAUGAGUUACGAUGUUGUUGC
RNAcentral lists this small RNA (29 nucleotides) under Bombyx mori (domestic silkworm). Its description in RNAcentral is "ovarian small RNA-35253". The record is from RNAcentral. Lineage: Eukaryota; Metazoa; Arthropoda; Insecta; Lepidoptera; Bombycidae.